GAGGGUAUAGCUGAGUGGCAGAGUGCCUGCCUACCAUGCACAAGGUCCUGGGUUCAAUUCCUAGUACCUCCA
This 72-nucleotide transfer RNA is filed under the name Camelus bactrianus (Bactrian camel). It matches the Rfam family "tRNA". From Rfam's summary of the family: Transfer RNA (tRNA) molecules are approximately 80 nucleotides in length. The record is from Rfam by way of RNAcentral. Lineage: Eukaryota; Metazoa; Chordata; Mammalia; Artiodactyla; Camelidae. RNAcentral also lists the same sequence under 2 other names.